This 468-nucleotide ribosomal RNA is filed under the name uncultured bacterium. Its description in RNAcentral is "partial 16S ribosomal RNA". It matches the Rfam family "Bacterial small subunit ribosomal RNA", at positions 28 to 507 of the family's 1533-position model. The record is from RNAcentral.
GACGAACGCUGGCGGCGUGCUUAACACAUGCAAGUCGAACGGAAAGGCCCUGCUUUUGUGGGUUGCUCGAGUGGCGAACGGGUGAGUAACACGUGAGUAACCUGCCCUUGACUUUGGGAUAACUUCAGGAAACUGGGGCUAAUACCGGAUAGGAGCUCCUGCUGCAUGGUGGGGGUUGGAAAGUUUCGGCGGUUGGGGAUGGACUCGCGGCUUAUCAGCUUGUUGGUGGGGUAGUGGCUUACCAAGGCUUUGACGGGUAGCCGGCCUGAGAGGGUGACCGGCGUCAUUGGGACUGAGGUAGGGAGCAGACUCGUACGGGAGGCAGCAGUGGAGAAUAUUGCACAGUGGGCGGGAGCCUGAUACAACAACGCCGCGUGCGGGAUGACCGCCUUCGGGUUGUAAACCGAUUUCGCCUGUGACGAAGCGUGAGUGACGGUAAUGGGUAAAAAAGCACCGGCUAACUACGUG